Non-coding RNA from Ictidomys tridecemlineatus (thirteen-lined ground squirrel), 3571 nucleotides. The record is from RefSeq and is a predicted model, not a curated record. Lineage: Eukaryota; Metazoa; Chordata; Mammalia; Rodentia; Sciuridae.
ACUUGGAUCCUCCUGUUUCAGCCUCCUCAGUCUCUGGGAUCACAGGCCUGCACCCCAGCUCCCCACUGUAUUUGUGUUCCUUAUAAGGGAUUAAUUUUUCUGAAUUUUUUUUAAAUUUCAGAGAGAGUAUUUCAGGAAUUGAACAAUGAUUCAUUUUCCUUUAUUUCUACCCAGGUCACUUGCAAAUGAUUUGCAAGUGGACUUAUUUUCUGAAGUAACUGGUCUUGACUGCCUGAUGUAAACCUAGAGAACUCUCAUUACUGGGUGACCUGACACUUGUCCUUAGCACAGUGAUCAGCCCCAGAGUUCCUCUGAUGCCUUGGAUCUAGGGCCACAAGACACACCCCUGAGUCCCAGGCCCUGCUUUACCCCAUUUCCUCCUCUGGGAGAGAAGCGGAAUGGUAGUCAUUACCCCUCAGAAUUAUUAGAAGGGUUCCACAAAUUAAUUAAGUGCUUCAAGCCACACCUGCAGAUAGUAGAAACUGUGUAAGUAUUUGAUAGGGAAACAAAGUAUAUGCUAAUGUUUACUUGAAGGGUUUGUUUGAGGAAUUCCUGUGACGUCUUGUGGGGUUGAGAAUCACCAUUAGUCUCCUCUUGUCUCCAUACUGGAGACCACACGGACACUGUCACAUGUGGCUCUGUAGGCCUGAAUGGUGGAUUCCCUGUUUACAGAUGACGUUUGGACUCAGAGAGGCCGUGUUUUGGGCCCAGAGACACACAGCUGGUGGGGGCCUUUCCAAGUCGGGGUUUACACCCCUGCCUGUCUGAGUGUGGGGGUGCAGCCAUCCUGUGCUCAGCCGGAGUCAGUGAUGCAGCCUGCGCCCCCCCGCCCCUCCCCCACAGCUGACCAUAGCUGAGAUGUGGCAGAGCCUGGAGUGGGAUUAGGACCGGCUUAUUGCCAAGGUGAAGAAGCAGCUGGAGCUGGAGAAGCAGCAGGCGGUGGACGAGACCAAGAAGAAGCAGUGGUGUGCCCACUGCAAGAAGGAGGCCAUCUUCUACCAGCUACUGUGACUACCCCUGCCAGCAGGCCCACUGGCCCGAGCACGUGAAGUCCUGCACCCAGUCAGCCACUGCCCCUCAGCAGGAAGUGGACACCAAGGUGACCACAGACACUGAGAACAAGCCCUCCCAGGGGCGCUCCUCCAGUGCCCAGCCAGCCGCCUCGGACACAACCAGUGCCUCCAAAGAGAAGGAGCCAUCAGCCGAGAAGAGCAAGGACAGCGGCUUGGAUCUUUCCAGGUUGCUGAGGCUGACCUUGAACUUGUGAUCCUGUUAUCUCGACCUCUGGAGUCCAUGAUAUUCAGGAUUGUGACCAGAUCCACAUUGAUGACAUCUAAUCAGAUGACAAUGGACAAGAUUUAAGGUGGGAAUCUGGGGAGUCAGAAAUGUCUAUCAGUUGAUUCUCAGGAGGGGAGGUCUAGUCACGUGGGCCAGAGGCGCCCGUCACUAGCCAGAUCUGGAACCUGAGCCCCUCUGAACUCGAAGCACAACCCUGCCCCCCUCUGUAGCAUCUUCUGUCACUUCUUCUGUAACCUCUGACCUCAGGCUCUGCUGUGUCGCUCACUCUCCAUCCCAGUUUACUGGAGUUGUGGGUGCAUACCAUAAAAACUCAUCCCUGCCCCCCCCCCAUCAUUGCCAUCAAGAGUUUGAUCCACGUCCCUUUGGAGACUUCAUGACAUUCAUUAGCUGGCAUGUAUUUUUAAUACAAAAAAAUUGAUGCAGUCAAUACUCAAGAAACACUUCCUGAACAAAUAAGUGGUGAGUCUGGUUUUCAGGGGAAAACACUCCUAAAACAGUUUCUGGAAAUCUGGUAACUGGCUGCCUGAUUAAAACGAGGCAGCUUUCAGAGUAGUGAGAUAGAAAUGUCCCAAGCCUGCCCCUAGGGAGACGUGACCAAAACAGAACCACAGCUCCUCUGUGCCAACCCCAAAUCAUCACAGCUCAGCACCUCCAAGCCAUCCUGGAUACGGUGAGCAGGUUCUGGUUACGGGUGUGGGCGUCUCCCCAUCCACACUUGAACUAGAACGGAGUCCCUGCCGGGCGCUUUGCCAGUCUCUCCAAAGCCCAGCACAAUAAGAAGUAAUCUGAUCAGCCAUCCAGAACAUCCAUCUGUCCCCAGGCUGGUGAGGAGCAAUGCCAUCCCGCAGGCUGAUUCCUGGUGUAAAUAAGGCCAGAUCAGAGUUAAUGGGUCAUUUCUGUGAAGUCAUCUCUGGGAGCCAGGCUCCCUCUCAAGGCAGCGAGACACCAGGGUCCAGGGUUAGUGCUUCCCCUGCAGCUGCUGGGAGCCCACCUCGGGCUGCGCUGUCUGGUAUCUUGUGCCAGGAAUCCAUCAUCUGAGGGUGUUUCCCCAAGUCAAAUUCCCCAUUUAGUCAUUCAGGAAAUAUUCACUAUAUUGAGCCUACUAUAGGCUCAGCACCAAGCAUCAAAUGUCUUUUUUUUUUUUUUUUUGGUGGGUACAGGGGUUUGGUUGUCAGUAAGACUCAACCUCAGGGCCCUUGUUCAGUGCCUGCCCUGCUUUCAAUGCUUCCUGUGGGUUAACCCCUGGCAUCUUUGAGGCAGCCCUAAGAGACUCUCCUGUCACCCCCUGUCAUAGUUGAGGAACUUGAGGCACAGAGAGAUCAAGACACCUGCCCAAGCUCACAUAGCUGGUGAAAGGUAGGAUCCAAACCCGAGCAGCCCAGCUCCAGAGCGCCACUCUUACUGACCCCUCAGUCCCCCUGGGCACCCCAUCCUCCUUAAGGGGACUCUAUCUCUGGACAUCUACCCUGAACCUGAAUGGGGACCCUAUAACACCUCCGUUGUCAGAGAUCCUGUGUUAAUCAGCUAUUCAUCAUCAUGGAAAAUUACCUGAGAUAAAAAUUAUGAGAAGGAGGGGUUUCAGAUGUUUUAGCUCAUGGGUCACUUAGCCCUGUGGCUUUGGACCUGGGGCAGAAGUCCACAUCACAGUGGAGCAUGUGGCAGAGGAGGCUGCUCACCUCAUGGAGGUGGGGAAGCAGAGAGACAGGAAGGGCUUGGCGUCCCAAUGUUCCCUUCAAGGGCACCCCCAAUGACCUAACAUCUUUCUACUAGGUCCUGCUUCUUCAAGUCUCCACCCUCUGCCCCAAUAACACCAACUGGAUGGCAGGCAAGUCUUUAACAUGUGGCCUUUGAGGGACAUCCCAGAUUCAAACUAUAGCACACCCCCAACUGAAGCCCUUUGCAUGACUCAGAUUGGAUUGAUUCAGGGCUAUUCUUCUUGCUCAAUUUAUCUUUUUUUUAUCUUGUUUUGUUUUUUUAUUGGUUCUUUUAGCUAUACAUGACAGUAGAAUUCAUUUUGAUGUAAUUGUAAAAGCAUGGAAUAUCUUCUUCUAUUUAGGACCCUGUUCUUCCUGCUCUUAUGGAUGUACAUGAUUGUAGGAUUCAAUAUGAUGUAUUCAUAGAAGUACAUAGGAAAAUUGAUUUGGAUUCAAAACAAUUCUUUCCCUUUCCUAUCCCCCCUCCCUUCCUUUCAUUCUCCUUUGUCUAAUCUAUUCUUCCCCUCUCCCGGCUUAUUGCAGUUUAACUUUCACAUAUCAGUGAAAACAUUCAACCU